Non-coding RNA from Agelaius phoeniceus (red-winged blackbird), 650 nucleotides. NCBI's taxonomy places the organism in Eukaryota, Metazoa, Chordata, Aves, Passeriformes, Icteridae. The record is from RefSeq and is a predicted model, not a curated record.
UUUUUUUCCAAUUUGUUCAAUGCAUUUUAAAGGCUUGGAAAGGUGUAAACCACAGCUGAUGGCCACAGAAGAAUUUACUGUCUGCUAAACCCUGAUAUCUGUCCUGACACACAAUAGGCAGCAGAUCCCCCUGGCUGAAGAAACCACCUGGAUGGACAUCAAUGGUCUGCUACCUUUGGUGUUAAAGAGCUGGAGAUGCAGCAGUAAAUUCUGAGUGCCUUCUGAAGUCACCUUUGUAUUAAAUGAACGAGGCAUAAAAUAUGUAGAAUGCCUGCCAAUUAUUUAAAAGAAUACAACCGCUAUAUGCAAGCGAAGUGGACUUCACCUAAAACUGGAUGAUGCAACACCCCAGUACUCUAAGGCAAGGGCCUGGAAAACGGGAAAGACAAGCGAAACCUCAUUUGUGUUGCCCUGCUAAGCUGCUGGAGCCCGGCUCUGCGAGAAGCCCUGUGAGCUCCGGGCACUCAGCCGUGGGUGCGAGGGAAGCCUUUGGAAGCAAGGAGCGCUGCCCCGGCCGGCGCUCGGAGGUCCCCGGGCGCUGCCGCCCCGCUCCCCUCAGCGCGGCCGAGCGGGCGCCUGCGCGGGGCCGCCCCUCGGGCCCCUCCGCCCCGCCCUGCGGCCGAGGCUCCCCGAGCGGAGGGAGCGGGGCU